RNAcentral lists this ribosomal RNA (253 nucleotides) under uncultured bacterium. RNAcentral's name for it is "partial 16S ribosomal RNA". It matches the Rfam family "Bacterial small subunit ribosomal RNA", at positions 524 to 776 of the family's 1533-position model. The record is from RNAcentral.
UACGUAGGGAGCAAGCGUUGUCCGGAAUCAUUGGGCGUAAAGCGCGCGUAGGUGGCCUCGUAAGUCCGCUGUGAAAGUCAAAGGCUCAACCUUUGAAAGCCGGUGGAUACUGUGAGGCUAGAGUACGGAAGAGGCGAGUGGAAUUCCUGGUGUAGCGGUGGAAUGCGCAGAUAUCAGGAGGAACACCAAUUGCGAAGGCAGCUCGCUGGGACGUUACUGACGCUGAGACGCGAAAGCGUGGGGAGCAAACAGG